Molecule: ribosomal RNA, 1372 nt
Filed under: uncultured bacterium
Lineage: Bacteria
Description: bacterial SSU rRNA
Rfam family: Bacterial small subunit ribosomal RNA
Source: RNAcentral
GAUGAACGCUGGCGGCGUGCCUAAUACAUGCAAGUCGAGCGAACGGACGAGAAGCUUGCUUCUCUGAUGUUAGCGGCGGACGGGUGAGUAACACGUGGAUAACCUACCUAUAAGACUGGGAUAACUUCGGGAAACCGGAGCUAAUACCGGAUAAUAUUUUGAACCGCAUGGUUCAAAAGUGAAAGACGGUCUUGCUGUCACUUAUAGAUGGAUCCGCGCUGCAUUAGCUAGUUGGUAAGGUAACGGCUUACCAAGGCAACGAUGCAUAGCCGACCUGAGAGGGUGAUCGGCCACACUGGAACUGAGACACGGUCCAGACUCCUACGGGAGGCAGCAGUAGGGAAUCUUCCGCAAUGGGCGAAAGCCUGACGGAGCAACGCCGCGUGAGUGAUGAAGGUCUUCGGAUCGUAAAACUCUGUUAUUAGGGAAGAACAUAUGUGUAAGUAACUGUGCACAUCUUGACGGUACCUAAUCAGAAAGCCACGGCUAACUACGUGCCAGCAGCCGCGGUAAUACGUAGGUGGCAAGCGUUAUCCGGAAUUAUUGGGCGUAAAGCGCGCGUAGGCGGUUUUUUAAGUCUGAUGUGAAAGCCCACGGCUCAACCGUGGAGGGUCAUUGGAAACUGGAAAACUUGAGUGCAGAAGAGGAAAGUGGAAUUCCAUGUGUAGCGGUGAAAUGCGCAGAGAUAUGGAGGAACACCAGUGGCGAAGGCGACUUUCUGGUCUGUAACUGACGCUGAUGUGCGAAAGCGUGGGGAUCAAACAGGAUUAGAUACCCUGGUAGUCCACGCCGUAAACGAUGAGUGCUAAGUGUUAGGGGGUUUCCGCCCCUUAGUGCUGCAGCUAACGCAUUAAGCACUCCGCCUGGGGAGUACGACCGCAAGGUUGAAACUCAAAGGAAUUGACGGGGACCCGCACAAGCGGUGGAGCAUGUGGUUUAAUUCGAAGCAACGCGAAGAACCUUACCAAAUCUUGACAUCCUUUGACAACUCUAGAGAUAGAGCCUUCCCCUUCGGGGGACAAAGUGACAGGUGGUGCAUGGUUGUCGUCAGCUCGUGUCGUGAGAUGUUGGGUUAAGUCCCGCAACGAGCGCAACCCUUAAGCUUAGUUGCCAUCAUUAAGUUGGGCACUCUAAGUUGACUGCCGGUGACAAACCGGAGGAAGGUGGGGAUGACGUCAAAUCAUCAUGCCCCUUAUGAUUUGGGCUACACACGUGCUACAAUGGACAAUACAAAGGGUAGCGAAACCGCGAGGUCAAGCAAAUCCCAUAAAGUUGUUCUCAGUUCGGAUUGUAGUCUGCAACUCGACUACAUGAAGCUGGAAUCGCUAGUAAUCGUAGAUCAGCAUGAUACGGUGAAUACGUUCCCGGGUCU